AAUUAAUCUAUCAUGCUACAAUCAUGUGGCUUACAUCCUCAUCAACUUCUCCCUCCCUAUUCAUGUAAUAUUGAUCCAAAGUACUAAAAUACAUCUGUCUUGAUUACCUCAUAUUCCAACAUAUACACAAUCUAUGCAUCUCUUAUCACCAAAAAUACAUGAAUAACAACAACAAAAACCUUAGAACCAGAGCAACAACCUAACUGGGGACUUUUCACAAAAAUAUUGUGGGCAUCUACUUUCUUAAAAAUAACACCCUUAGCCGAGAAUUCAUUUAUCUCAUGCAUAGAAAAUCCAUGAGCAGAGAUGAAUUCCACCUAAGAUUGGUUCUUUUUCCGUUCAUCAACAACAUCAAGUUGGUCUUGACGAGAGAAAUGUUGGGCAACCUUGAAAAUUUCCUGAAUAUCCGAGUUAAGGCCCAGACCCAUGUUUUCAUUCAUAAUGCCAUUUGCAUCAGAUUCUGCAAAAAAGAGAACCAGGGGCAGAGCCUCCGAUUCAACAUUUUGGGAGAAUUUGGGUUUGACAUCCCAUACUCAACGAACAAGUCACGAGAAGGGCUACUAGGAGAGUUUCCUUUAGAUAAGUGUGAAUGACUAACCAUGAGGGGAAAGAAGAUGAGGGUCAGAGAAAGGGGAAAAGAAGGGAAACAGAGCGGAGAAAAGGAAGCGAUGAUAGGUGAUGGGGGUAUAAUCGUCAGAAUUGAGGAAUAAACCAGUCCGCUAGUUAUUCUAGCAGAUGACGAGUUUGAUUUUUAAAUCUUAACCAUUCAUAAAUGUAAUAGAAGGUAAUAUAGUCUUUGCCCAUUUUUGAUUCGUAGUAAAUACAUCAUAUAGAUC
RNAcentral lists this long non-coding RNA (836 nucleotides) under Panax ginseng (ginseng). RNAcentral describes it as "long non-coding RNA (PGIN_LNC012040)". Lineage: Eukaryota; Viridiplantae; Streptophyta; Magnoliopsida; Apiales; Araliaceae. The record is from RNAcentral.